RNAcentral lists this long non-coding RNA (535 nucleotides) under Nicotiana benthamiana. RNAcentral describes it as "long non-coding RNA (NBEN_LNC031741)". The record is from RNAcentral. Lineage: Eukaryota; Viridiplantae; Streptophyta; Magnoliopsida; Solanales; Solanaceae.
UUACAGAAGUAGCCACAAUUAAGGAAAUGACCAAUUAUUAGGCUCAGAAUAGUGUAUCAUCACCUUCGCGGGGCAAACUUGAGGGAAUCGACUCCAUUGAAAUCUUCAGUCUUUCUCUCUUUAUCAUCUUCUUGAUGCUGAAUUUGGUUAUAUCACUGUUUUUAUUUUGUUAUUUUUUGUGUAAAUUUCUCCUUAAAUAGUUUUCUAGUCGAUUCAAGCAAUUGGUUCUUGUUUUUGUAUUUAUGUUGGAAGUAAGGUGUUAUCGCCAGUGGUUGAAGGGGUUGUUGGUAUGUAUUUGGUGGAGAUAAGGAUGAUGGGGUGAUGGGGAUGACGGUGAUAGGACUAUUGGUGUUUAUGUGGUGGCAACUUAUCUGUGAGAAGAAUUAUAGGAAAGGGGUGAUUUAGAUAAAGCUGUAGUAGUAUAGUGUUUUAGGUAUUUGAUUAAGGCUGCCGUUGAUGUUGGUCAAUAAUGGAGGUGAAGAGACCAAGAUGUCGGCUAUGAAGUAGGAAAGAGACUAAGAGAAACAUAUGUCUU